AUGCCUUCAAAAAGUUGGCCUCAUUUUCUGAAGCUGAAAUCCUUUUGAUCAUAAUUACUUCUGACCUAAAAUUACCCACAGUCACCAUACAAUGCCACGCUGGGACAAAAAAGAAAUACAUAUUAUUGCAUUCUUACCCAAAUACUCUUCGUGAUUGCCUGCUUUGCGGCUUUGGGCCGAUGCAAGCUGCAAAAUGGCGAGUCUUCUAAGGUGCCUUUCCUUCCCUGGGAUCCUCAUCUUAGAAUGAGCAGAGGCACAUCGAUAAGAACUGGACCUUGAUUUCACAACCUCAUACAAAGCCAGGCAAUUCUUGAGCCAAACAAAGGGGGUGUAAGCUAUUUCAUUUAUUUUGAUAAUCCUCCUCUUGCACGGGAGCAUUUUGCUGUCUUUGUCAAAGUGAAUGACAACAAUUUGGCCAACUCUCUCUGAGCUGCACUCAACAGUGACAGGCAAAUUAUCAGAGGCCCUGCACUUCUUAUUAUCAGAGGAGAAGCCAUCAGGGGGACGCAUGGAGGAUACCUCUCCCUUGUCACUAUUUGUCAGUGGGACAAGGGC
Molecule: long non-coding RNA, 555 nt
Filed under: Pan troglodytes (chimpanzee)
Lineage: Eukaryota; Metazoa; Chordata; Mammalia; Primates; Hominidae
Also listed under: 1 other name
Description: lincRNA
Source: RNAcentral